Long non-coding RNA from Nicotiana tabacum (common tobacco), 957 nucleotides. RefSeq lists it as uncharacterized. Lineage: Eukaryota; Viridiplantae; Streptophyta; Magnoliopsida; Solanales; Solanaceae. The record is from RefSeq and is a predicted model, not a curated record.
UUCACACCAAUCAACAUCUCUUGAUGAGUAUAUCCAGCUGAUGGCGGUCCCGUCCCAUUUUUCAUGGUCGUCGAAGUCCAACCAUUUUCUCAUUGACCGGCCAGCAAUAACUUCUUCCUCCUCUAGCAAAGCAAGAGGCAUUGCUACACAUAGCAUUGGCCCCUGAAAAGGUUCCGAUCAGUGCUUGUGUAACAAUCUCUCCGGCUUACCGGAAUCCACUAUUGUCAAAUAAAUUGAGCUCUAAUAGCGACUUCGUCUCCCUUUCCACGGAGUGCGUCUCCUAGCAUUUCUAGACUUCGUCUUUGAGAUAUUAGCUUUAAGCCGGAUGUAUCCCCUUCUAUGCAUGCUUCAAAUACACAUGAGGAUGAUGAUCCAGAUUAAGUGCGGUAUGAUCGUUAUCAUAGGAUGAUCAUAAGUUCUAAGGGCAAUGGGUUCAUACCUAGUCAUGAGACUACAAAAAUAAUCACUGAAGCUCUUGUCCGGUUGUAUGAUGCACCGCAUGCGACUUGGAGUGAUUUUCCACCGGAGCUCAUGGAGCAAAUUUUCAACCAAUUUUAAGACUAAGUGUGCAUGGGAGGACCGGCAUAACAAUGCAAUUCUUACAAAUUUUGAGUUCAAAUGUCGUAAGAAACUAGCUGAUUCCUUCUGUUCUGCUUGAAAGAAAAACAAGAAGCCUUCAUGGGUUUUAUCUCAUUUAUGGGAGGAUCUACUGAAGCAGAUGGCCACUGAGGAUUUCAAGAAGAAGAGUGAGCAAGGAAAGAAGGCCUGAGCAUCUGAGAAGGCUGGCUCCUUGUACUGUAUGGGUGCAAGGAGCAUAGGGAUUGCGAGGAGACUACUGGUUUUAUUAUAUUGUAUGAAACAAAUAUGGGAGGAAGGUGACUCACGAUGAGUUCUUCAUGGAGACUCACAUCCGGAAGAAGAAGGCACCGACAGAUCCAAGUAGAUGGGUCGAGGACC